This 184-nucleotide ribosomal RNA is filed under the name uncultured Verrucomicrobiota bacterium. RNAcentral describes it as "uncultured Verrucomicrobia bacterium partial 16S ribosomal RNA". It matches the Rfam family "Bacterial small subunit ribosomal RNA", at positions 1197 to 1378 of the family's 1533-position model. Lineage: Bacteria; Pseudomonadati; Verrucomicrobiota. The record is from RNAcentral.
GGCCCUUACGCCUAGGGCGGCACACGUACUACAAUGCCCAGCACAAUGAGAACCGAGACCGCAAGGUGGAGGAAAUCUGCAAAACUGGGCCCAGUUCGGAUCGCCCCCUGCAACUGGCCUCCAUGAAGUCGGAAUCGCUAGUAAUGCCGUAUCAACUACGACGGCGGGAAUACGUUCCCGGGUG